AGUAACACGGACCAAGGAGUCUAACAUCUAUGCGAGUGUUCGGGUGUCAAACCCCUACGCGUAAUGAAAGUGAACGGAGGUGAGAACCGCAAGGUGCAUCAUCGACCGAUCCUGAUGUCUUCGGAUGGAUUUGAGUAAGAGCAUAGCUGUUGGGACCCGAAAGAUGGUGAACUAUGCCUGAAUAGGGUGAAGUCAGAGG
RNAcentral lists this ribosomal RNA (199 nucleotides) under Oxyrrhis marina. RNAcentral describes it as "partial Eukaryotic large subunit ribosomal RNA". It matches the Rfam family "Eukaryotic large subunit ribosomal RNA", at positions 655 to 858 of the family's 3401-position model. The record is from RNAcentral. Lineage: Eukaryota; Dinophyceae; Oxyrrhinales; Oxyrrhinaceae.